RNAcentral lists this ribosomal RNA (253 nucleotides) under uncultured bacterium. RNAcentral's name for it is "partial 16S ribosomal RNA". It matches the Rfam family "Bacterial small subunit ribosomal RNA", at positions 524 to 776 of the family's 1533-position model. The record is from RNAcentral.
UACGUAGGGUGCGAGCGUUAAUCGGAAUUACUGGGCGUAAAGCGUGCGCAGGCGGCUUCGCAAGUCAGGCGUGAAAUCCCCGGGCUUAACCUGGGAAUGGCGUCUGAAACUACGGAGCUGGAGUGUGGCAGAGGGAGGUAGAAUUCCACGUGUAGCGGUGAAAUGCGUAGAUAUGUGGAGGAAUACCGAUGGCGAAGGCAGCCUCCUGGGCCAACACUGACGCUCAGGUGCGAAAGCGUGGGGAGCAAACAGG